Long non-coding RNA from Cryptotermes secundus, 1552 nucleotides. RefSeq lists it as uncharacterized. NCBI's taxonomy places the organism in Eukaryota, Metazoa, Arthropoda, Insecta, Blattodea, Kalotermitidae. The transcript has 4 exons. The record is from RefSeq and is a predicted model, not a curated record.
CAAAGGCCCAACAAGUAUUAUAAAGCUUUAUAAAGUUAGAUACAUGUAAUACUGGAAAUAAUAUACCGUAAGGUCAUGUUGUCCAUAAGACCAUAUUGUGGUCUGUUUUUUAAUGCUCAUGACCUGUCUUUACAUUGUGUUGAGGUAGUUCGAUCUAGUUGUCACUCUUUUUUGUGGAAUGGGGUAAACAAAAUGCAGUGUAGUAUGUGAAGUAUGCAGAUAUUAUCACUCCUGUGCACACAGUUCUGGUAUAAACACACCAUGUGUUUACAUGUAUUACAUUUUUUGGCCUACAUGGCCAUCAUCAGGUACAUAAAACUUUUACAGCCACCCAUCUUUCACUCUGCUGCUUUUAUUUUCUUUGUGUGGCCUGCCCUGAAGUACACAGGCCACAGAGGAAAAGAAAAGAACACAAAAAUAACACAUCACACACUAGGCCAACAUAUAACCGCAACAUCAACACAAGGUAAGGAAAACCGACAUAUACUCCUACCCAAAUAUACAAACUAGUAAAACACGCACUGACAACACAUUCAUAUUUCAGAUGAUAGGAAUAAUUCCACAAAAAACAAGAAUACACAUUGGAGAACACCUAAAAAUUUGGCAACACAAAACAAAGGGACAUGACAACAUAAAGCAAAAGUGGGGGGGGGGCAGAUAGAAUACAUACACACUCUUUUAAACAUAUAAUUCAAUUUGAAUUUCAGUCAGAAUAUUUUAAUAUUUUUAAAAAAUUAAAUUGUAAUAUUAUAUACAUUUUAUAACAUAAGGGAAUUACAUAAACAACAUACAUGUACACCACACUCCGAGUAUGUAAACAAUUGUCAGUGCAGGGAGGUAUAGCAGGUAUGGCAUAAUUUAGAUAAUAUCCCAAUAUCUGGAUGGUCUGAGGAAAACCAUGAGAUAUCUCUGCUGGUCUCCAGAUUAGGAUUUAAACCUGGGACCUCCCAAGUACAAAGUAGAAGUGCCAUCCACUUCACUGCAAUUUCAGGUUCAUAACUGAAACCUAGUGAAUGCAUUGAUAAAUAUGUCUCCUUCCAGAUGAAGGAUAAGCUCAGAUAGCUGAGUCAUAUCAGGGGGUUGCAAGCUGGACAGCCAGGGUCAGAUGCCUGGCAGAGGCAAGACAUUUUUCUCUUCUCCAUGGCAGCCAGCCUCCUGAACUCUGGGUACUAGGAGCUUUUACCCCAGAGGAUACAACACGAGUGCAUAAUAAAAUUAAAUGACCCUUGUCAUACAUACCAUACUAAAGUAUAGUGUAUAAAGGACAUUCAAAUUAACUGGUCUGGUAGUACCAGGAUGCAGCAAAGUUCAAAUGGCACAGAAGAGGGUUAAAUACAUACAAGGUGGUGCCAGUUUUGGGAUGGUGAUUACACCUUUAGAAGAGAAUGAAUCUACUUCUUAAAGGAGGUAAAUGCAGAGUGUUCAUACCCAUAACCAGGGUACCUCACCAGCUUCAGAGUAGCAAGUUCUUCUUGAGUGGGUCGCCAUUCAUCCUGAGCUCUUGCCCUCCGACCUUUGCGUCUGCGUCCUUCUUCAGUACGUUCCUUUAAAC